CCUACGGGCGGCAGCAGUGAGGAAUAUUGGUCAAUGGACGAGAGUCUGAACCAGCCAAGUAGCGUGAAGGAUGACUGCCCUAUGGGUUGUAAACUUCUUUUAUAUGGGAAUAAAAUGUUCCACGUGUGGGAUUUUGUAUGUCCCAUAUGAAUAAGGAUCGGCUAACUCCGUGCCAGCAGCCGCGGUAAUACGGAGGAUCCGAGCGUUAUCCGGAUUUAUUGGGUUUAACGGGAGCGUAGGUGGAUUGUUAAGUCAGUUGUGAAAGUUUGCGGCUCAACCGUAAAAUUGCAGUUGAAACUGGCAGUCUUGAGUACAGUAGAGGUGGGCGGAAUUCGUGGUGUAGCGGUGAAAUGCUUAGAUAUCACGAAGAACUCCGAUUGCGAAGGCAGUUCACUGGACUGCAACUGACACUGAGGCUCGAAAGUGUGGGUAUCAAACAGGAUUAGAUACCCGAGUAGUC
Molecule: ribosomal RNA, 460 nt
Filed under: uncultured bacterium
Lineage: Bacteria
Description: partial 16S ribosomal RNA
Rfam family: Bacterial small subunit ribosomal RNA
Source: RNAcentral